UGGCUCAGGAUGAACGCUAGCUACAGGCUUAACACAUGCAAGUCGAGGGGCAGCAUGAAGUUUGCUGCAAACUUGAUGGCGACCGGCGCACGGGUGAGUAACGCGUAUCCAACCUGGCCCGCAGUAGGGAACAGCCCGGCGAAAGUCGGAUUAAUGCCCUAUGUCUUCCUUUGCAGGCAUCCAAUGAGGAAGAAAGAUUUAUCGCUGCGGGAUGGGGAUGCGUCUGAUUAGCUUGUCGGCGGGGUAACGGCCCACCGAGGCGACGAUCAGUAGGGGUUCUGAGAGGAAGGUCCCCCACACUGGUACUGAGACACGGACCAGACUCCACGGGAGGCAGCAGUGAGGAAUAUUGGUCAAUGGGCGAGAGCCUGAACCAGCCAAGUAGCGUGCAGGAACCGACUGCCCUAUGGGUUGUAAACUGCUUUUAUGCGGGGAUAAACUUCAGCACGUGUGCUGUUUUGCAGGUACCGCAUGAAUAAGGACCGGCUAAUUCCGUGCCAGCCGCGGC
This 508-nucleotide ribosomal RNA is filed under the name uncultured bacterium. RNAcentral's name for it is "bacterial SSU rRNA". It matches the Rfam family "Bacterial small subunit ribosomal RNA", at positions 20 to 518 of the family's 1533-position model. The record is from RNAcentral.